UGGGGGAUAUUGCACAAUGGGGGAAACCCUGAUGCACGCGACGCCGCGUGAGUGAAGAAGUAUUUCGGUAUGUAAAGCUCUAUCAGCGGGGAAGAAAAGGGCGGAAGCCCGGACAGUACCCGAAUAAGAAGCCCCGGCUAACUACGUGCC
This 150-nucleotide ribosomal RNA is filed under the name uncultured bacterium. Its description in RNAcentral is "partial 16S ribosomal RNA". It matches the Rfam family "Bacterial small subunit ribosomal RNA", at positions 355 to 509 of the family's 1533-position model. The record is from RNAcentral.